CCUACGGGCGGCUGCAGUGGGGAAUAUUGCACAAUGGGCGCAAGCCUGAUGCAGCCAUGCCGCGUGUGUGAAGAAGGCCUUCGGGUUGUAAAGCACUUUCAGCGGGGAGGAAGGCGGUGAGGUUAAUAACCUCAUCGAUUGACGUUACCCGCAGAAGAAGCACCGGCUAACUCCGUGCCAGCAGCCGCGGUAAUACGGAGGGUGCAAGCGUUAAUCGGAAUUACUGGGCGUAAAGCGCACGCAGGCGGUCUGUCAAGUCGGAUGUGAAAUCCCCGGGCUCAACCUGGGAACUGCAUUCGAAACUGGUAGGCUAGAGUCUUGUAGAGGGGGGUAGAAUUCCAGGUGUAGCGGUGAAAUGCGUAGAGAUCUGGAGGAAUACCGGUGGCGAAGGCGGCCCCCUGGACAAAGACUGACGCUCAGGUGCGAAAGCGUGGGGAGCAAACAGGAUUAGAUACCCCGGUAGUC
Molecule: ribosomal RNA, 465 nt
Filed under: uncultured Klebsiella sp.
Lineage: Bacteria; Pseudomonadati; Pseudomonadota; Gammaproteobacteria; Enterobacterales; Enterobacteriaceae
Description: bacterial SSU rRNA
Rfam family: Bacterial small subunit ribosomal RNA
Source: RNAcentral